UACGUAGGGGGCAAGCGUUGUCCGGAAUCAUUGGGCGUAAAGAGCGUGUAGGCGGCCUGAUAAGUCGGCUGUGAAAGUCAAGGGCUCAACCCUUGAAUGCCGGCCGAUACUGUCAGGCUAGAGUCCGGAAGAGGCGAGUGGAAUUCCUGGUGUAGCGGUGAAAUGCGCAGAUAUCAGGAGGAACACCGGUGGCGAAGGCGGGACUCUGGGCCGAUACUGACGCUGAGGAGCGAAAGCGUGGGGAGCAAACAGG
RNAcentral lists this ribosomal RNA (253 nucleotides) under uncultured bacterium. RNAcentral's name for it is "partial 16S ribosomal RNA". It matches the Rfam family "Bacterial small subunit ribosomal RNA", at positions 524 to 776 of the family's 1533-position model. The record is from RNAcentral.